This 468-nucleotide ribosomal RNA is filed under the name uncultured bacterium. Its description in RNAcentral is "partial 16S ribosomal RNA". It matches the Rfam family "Bacterial small subunit ribosomal RNA", at positions 28 to 507 of the family's 1533-position model. The record is from RNAcentral.
GACGAACGCUGGCGGCGUGCUUAACACAUGCAAGUCGAACGGAAAGGCCCUGCUGUUGUGGGGUGCUCGAGUGGCGAUCGGGUUAGUAACACGUGAGUAACCUGCCCUUGACUUUCGGAUAACUUCACGUAACUGGGGCUAAUACCGGAUAGGAGCUCCUGCUGCAUGGUGGGGGUGGGAGAGUAUAGGCGGUUGGGGGUGGAGUCCCGGCUUAUCAGCUUGCUGGGGGGGUAGUGGGUUACCAAGGCUUUGAAAGGUAGCCGAGCUGGGAGGAGGACACGAUCAGUUGGGAUGGGAAUACGACACGGACUCCAAUGGGAGGCAACGGAGGGGUAGAGUGUACUAUGGGCGGAAGGCUAAUGUAGCAACGCCGCGUGCGGGAAGACGGCAUUCGGUUUGGAAACCGCUUUCGCCUGUGACGAAGCGUGAGUGACGGUAAUGGGUAAAGAAGCACCGGCUAACUACGUG